This 1022-nucleotide ribosomal RNA is filed under the name Acericola italica. Its description in RNAcentral is "SSU rRNA". It matches the Rfam family "Eukaryotic small subunit ribosomal RNA", at positions 74 to 1106 of the family's 1831-position model. Lineage: Eukaryota; Fungi; Ascomycota; Dothideomycetes; Pleosporales; Phaeosphaeriaceae. The record is from RNAcentral.
UUAUACCGUGAAACUGCGAAUGGCUCAUUAAAUCAGUUAUCGUUUAUUUGAUAGUACCUUACUACUUGGAUAACCGUGGUAAUUCUAGAGCUAAUACAUGCUGAAAACCCCAACUUCGGGAGGGGUGUAUUUAUUAGAUAAAAAACCAACGCCCUUCGGGGCUUCUUGGUGAUUCAUGAUAACUUUACGGAUCGCAUGGCCUUGCGCCGGCGACGGUUCAUUCAAAUUUCUGCCCUAUCAACUUUCGAUGGUAAGGUAUUGGCUUACCAUGGUUUCAACGGGUAACGGGGAAUUAGGGUUCGAUUCCGGAGAGGGAGCCUGAGAAACGGCUACCACAUCCAAGGAAGGCAGCAGGCGCGCAAAUUACCCAAUCCCGACACGGGGAGGUAGUGACAAUAAAUACUGAUACAGGGCUCUUUUGGGUCUUGUAAUUGGAAUGAGUACAAUUUAAACCUCUUAACGAGGAACAAUUGGAGGGCAAGUCUGGUGCCAGCAGCCGCGGUAAUUCCAGCUCCAAUAGCGUAUAUUAAAGUUGUUGCAGUUAAAAAGCUCGUAGUUGAACCUUGGGUCUGGCUGGCAGGUCCGCCUCACCGCGUGUACUUGUCCGGCCGGGCCUUCCUUCUGGAGAACCUCAUGCCCUUCACUGGGCGUGUUGGGGACCAGGACUUUUACUUUGAAAAAAUUAGAGUGUUCAAAGCAGGCCUUUGCUCGAAUACGUUAGCAUGGAAUAAUAGAAUAGGACGUGCGGUCCUAUUUUGUUGUUUUCUAGGACCGCCGUAAUGAUUAAUAGGGACAGUCGGGGGCAUCAGUAUUCAAUUGUCAGAGGUGAAAUUCUUGGAUUUAUUGAAGACUAACUACUGCGAAAGCAUUUGCCAAGGAUGUUUUCAUUAAUCAGUGAACGAAAGUUAGGGGAUCGAAGACGAUCAGAUACCGUCGUAGUCUUAACCGUAAACUAUGCCGACUAGGGAUCGGGCGAUGUUCUUUUUCUGACUCGCUCGGCACCUUACGAGAAAUCAAAGGUU